This is a non-coding RNA of Acanthosepion pharaonis, 113 nucleotides long. NCBI's taxonomy places the organism in Eukaryota, Metazoa, Mollusca, Cephalopoda, Sepiida, Sepiidae. The record is from the annotation of a GenBank genome assembly.
UUACGGCCAUAUCUCGUUGAAACACCGGGUCUCGUCCGGUCAGCUAAAUUAAGCAACGUCAAGCCUGGUCAGUUCCUAGAUGGGUGACCACUUGGAAUAUUAUGUGCUGUAAG